This 61-nucleotide transfer RNA is filed under the name Proasellus karamani. RNAcentral describes it as "transfert RNA-P(CCA)". The record is from RNAcentral. Lineage: Eukaryota; Metazoa; Arthropoda; Malacostraca; Isopoda; Asellidae.
CAGAAGAUAGUUUAAGAUAGAAUAAUAGUUUUGGAGAUUAUAGAUGUUUCGGCUCUUCUGA